GUAAAAGCAGAGGUAAAGAAAAUAAUGAUAACAUCGAGGCAUGUAUUUCCAGAAAAAUGAAAAAAUAUAAGCAUCACAUAUAAAUCAUAACAUUUUCAGUUGGGGUUCAAAUGAGCUACCAGCUUCUGCACAUCUCUAAAAUUGUGCAUCAUCACCGCAAAGGUAUUAAGAGAUGUAAUACUCCAUAAUCUGAGCUAGGUGGAGCAUGAAGCUAUUAAAUAAAAGUGGCCUGAGGAUGGAGGCCUGAGGUACCCCACAUGUGAUCUUUGUUUGCUCCGAUUCAUAUUUGCCAAAAAGAAACUAAGUAGUCUUGGUCUGGAGCAAUCUGGCACAGUACCAGACCAUCUCACCAACUUUUCAAAUCUAUCAAUUAAUUUGUUAUGAUCGAUGCCAAACUUGACUGGAAAGCAGUAAAUUACAUUUUUAAAUCAAAAAUGAUAAAAAAAAUUAUUUGAUGAGCUGCUUUUUAAUGAUCAUUGCCAAAAUGUUAUGUUAGGAAUAUAGAAAUAUUUUCUAUUUUAAUAUUUAUUAUGUGCAAUAUUUGAGGUGCAACACAACAAACAAGAUUUAAAAAGAGGUGAAGCCACAAACUGCUUGCCUCACCUUCUGAGUUUUUGUUUUUUGUGAAAUAAAUCCAUGCAGGAGUUCAGGAUGGACAGGUGGUGAGGGGUCUGUUCAGCAUGUCAACAAUAGUCAACAGAGGUGGAGAUUCUUAGUGGUGUUAUUAAUAAAACCAGCUAAACUUAGAAAACAAAAUCUGCUGCUAUAUUUACACCGGUUGAAACAUUAAAAAUAUACGUUGCUGCUGGCAUUGUGUAAGCCAAAUUACAGAAGCAGUAAUAGCUUCAUGUCUUUUUCUGUUAAUGUGGUUGGAACAGCUUGAAUUACUGCAAAUUAGUUAGGAAAUCUGGACAAUUAAAACAUAGCUAAGGGAAGGCCCUUAAGACAUCCAUUAUUUUAACUUUGUAAUGAGACCCAGAGUUUUUCUUUCUUUCAUUCUGCUGCAUGAGUACAGAGACGGAACAGCACAGUGAUAAGGACAACUUGUUUCACAGGAACCGUUCGCCUGCUACAGUUCCUCAUGAAUAAAUGAACACAUGAUAACUCGAUUAAGCUCUAUUUAUAUGGUGCAGAUCAAAAGUCAGUUACGUACAGUAGUUCGAUUGUAGUUAAAAAUGCACCUAUGUUCAGUCGAUACCUGCAGUUGUGGAAAAAAUGCACCUAUUGAAACCUGGCCAACGGCUUUGAGUCACUGAAAACACAAGUCUUCUUUUAAUUGUUUUCCCAGCAAUCCUUUCUGCAGGAUAGAAAACAACUAAAAGAGGGUUUGUUUGCCACCCAUUUUCUAUACCUGCUUUUUCCAAACAGGGUCGUGGAGAGGCACCAGCUUCACUACAGGGCAACAUAAGGACACACAACUAUGUGCACACCCAUUCACACCUAAGAGAGACCAGUUAACCUAGCAGUUAUGUUUUUGGACUGUGGGAGGAAGCCAGAGAGAACGUGCAAACUCCAUGCAGAAAGACCCCAUGCUGGGAGUUGAACCCUUGACCUUCUUGCUGCAAAGCAACUCAGCUACAAGCUCCACCAACCUGCAGUCCUCUAUGAAAAAUGAUUUGUGCCAAAAAUCACAUAAUGCUCUCUAUCUUGAAACAUUUUUAUGUUGUUUAAAUGAAAUAUUUAAACCGUUUGAAUGUCAUUGAUGCAUGGAUAUUGGUCCUGUACUUGCAAACAGCAUAUACUUUAUGUGCACUCUGAUCAUUUCCCACUGAUGAGUCAAAUUUGGCUCUGUUAUGGCCUUUUGGUUCACUAAUAUGUUUCUAAAAGGUUCAAUUUUAACAGCAUUACAAACUAAACCACUUACUGUGCAAUGCAUUGUAAAGUGAAGUAGUGGACAAUUCCAGCUAGACUUUAAUCUUACCUCGUGAAAAGAAAAACAGGCGUAAACUUUACAGAUUUGUGUAUAAGAAAUAUUUUAUUGCUUAUCCCCGUCUGGAUUAGCUUGCUGUCUAUUUGUUAUUCUCUUAUUUAGAUGGUCUUUUAGAGCUGGACUGAAUAAAAUAAAACAUCUCUUUGCAUGAGUUACAGUGUUUUUCUGUUGUUUAAUCAUCAAACAAAUUUACAACCAAUGAUAAUCUGAGUAAAUCAUUUUUCACCCUGGGCCAGGUUCGUUAGGAUGGGGGGGGUAAAGGCUCUUUCAUAUCACAGCGUGUCACAAACACUGAUUUAUUUCUAAUGCAAACAAGAAUCAAAACUAAAUCCAAAAUCUGAGGUGGAUGUUCUUGAAUGAGCAAAUACCGGAGGAACUGUACAGUACAUUCAUUAGUUGGCUAAACAUGGGCGAUCAAAAAGUUGUUUCAACACAUGAGCAUUGUUUGAACAUUGUAAUUUACACACAUGAAAUAAUGUCAAUUUAUUCAAGUUUUUAAAAAAGUAAAUAUAACUAUUCUCAAACAUUACUGAAGCACAUUUAUAGUUUCCUUUAUUUAAAGGGACUGGAUUAUUAGGGGUCUUUUAUGCCUUCUCCUGGCGGUUUAGGGAAACUCCAUGGUGGGUCCGGUUGAUCAAUUAUAUAACUGGAAAAUCCGUUUCCAGUUCAAAUUUCUUACCUGCUAUAUGCUUUGUGUGGAUGUAAUUGUUUUCUUGUGGGUGGGUGCGUGCGUGUGCAGAAAAGAGCAGGUAGGUGUUUGCCAUGUAUCCGUUUCCCUGCUGGCUUGGAAUAAACCUUUUAAACAAAUAAACAUCUGCAGCCACAGCGGUUCUUCUAUAAAUUAGAAAUAGUUCUGUAGCUUAGUCCAGCAGCUGUAAUUGUGCCUUUAGACAUUAUAUGGCAUCAAUGCAACAUCCUUACAAAAUGGCCUUAGUUGUAUUCGUCUGCAGUAUUUAACCAGUAUUUUUUUUUUUUUUACCUUUAAAUUAUGUUUUGCUGUUUACCAAAUAUAAACAUAUGCUUGCAAUGAUGGGAAUAUUCUACAUGAAUAUGGCCCUUUUUCAACAGGAAAAAAUGACAACAGAUUUGAAGAUUAUGGUCAGAUUAUGGUCAGCACUGCUCGAAGUCCAGAAGAUCAGCGUGGUGCAGAAAAAAAAAGUGUUGAUGCUGAUAAAUCCUAAAGAAAACCAACAAUAGGGGACAUACUGACAAACUGUUUACUAUGACUAAUGGCAUGUGGUUAGCAGUUGUCAAGGCAACUGUUCAGCCAUCUGCUGGGGUCUGAGAAAAACAGGAAGCAGAGUGAGAACUGAGAACAGCAACAGAAACUGAAACAGGGCUCUAGACAAACUGAAUGAUGCGUCUGUGUCAGAGGGCUCAAAUGAGGCCCAGCUCUCCACACAUAUACCUGAACCACACACACACACACACACACACACACUGGUUACUCAUGCAGUCAUUACAGGUGCUAACUUGUACGGUUCAGCAGCAAACCUUUUUAUCCUCAGCUCAGAGUUCCAACCCAGCUUAGGUUCUGGUCAGUUUCUCAACAAAGGAUCUGCGACGGGCCGUCCUUUUGUUUUUAUCUCAACCGCUACAGAUACAAGAGUUCUCCGUGACGCCCAGCAGCUAUAAAAACUGGACUCUGAUCUUUCCGCCAACACAAGAUAAAACCAGUGCCAUCUAACCCUAUUGUCAUAGUCAUAAAAAAAUCACACUGAACACAGGACAAAUAUACAAAAACAGACUUUAUUUCAGUUGUACAUAUUGAUUCACAUGUAGAUCUCACAAUGAACAGACAGACGGAUGGCAAACCCAUGACCAUUUUAUUUAGUAUGUUUUCUAGCCAACUACUUACAUUGUCCUUUAGAGUGUGCAGCAGAACAUAAAGAGGGACAACUCUUUCCUGAUAAGAGGUUUCAUGGCUCUAAAUCCCUAAAAACCAGACACAUCUUACAUCAGCUUUCACUGCUGACUCCUGGUUGUAAUCACAUCUCUUUAACAAACACAAAGCACAAAACAAAUCUAUGGAAAAGUGCACAUUUCUGAAUCUUUGCAGGAUGUCACUGUGAGGCUUCUUUAAGGCAACACCAAUUAGCGGACUUUCCAAAUGUUUCAUUGUUACACCAGAUAUUUUGAUCCUCAGUUUUUUCUUCUUCCUGUUUUCUAUGGCAGGAAACACCUCGAUGCUUCAGCUCAUUGUUUUCUUUUCACGUUUCUGGUUUCGAUGAUGGCGUCUACACAAGUCAACGUAGCUACAGUGGUCCAAAAUAAGAAGAUGGCUGUUGGUUAAGUUAUUAGUAGAAUUUGCUUUAAAUAUCAUUACAUACUGCAGGAUUCCAGAGCUGUCGCUUCAGACUGAAACAACGCAGCUUCUGUCACUGAGUAAUAAUAAAAGGCACAUGUCUGAAAGAUUUGCAGUAAAGCAAGCAAAAAAAAAAAAA
Long non-coding RNA from Girardinichthys multiradiatus, 4374 nucleotides. RefSeq lists it as uncharacterized. The transcript is spliced from 2 exons. Lineage: Eukaryota; Metazoa; Chordata; Actinopteri; Cyprinodontiformes; Goodeidae. The record is from RefSeq and is a predicted model, not a curated record.